UCCAGCCUGGAGGGCUUGCUGCUCUCUGGGCAGCCCUGCCAUGUGCUUGCUGUUCCUGAGGCCUCAGCUGGGCUAGCUGAGGGGCCUGGAUUCUGAAGUUACAGAGAGCUGACUAAGGGGCUGUCUUCUGAAGAUCUAGCCUUGGGUCACAGGAGAAAGGUGUUGCAUGGAUGUUGGAAGGAGGCAACCGUCAACAGUCCUAGGACAUUUGAAAUAUACUUCUACGAAAACCACCUUAGGUUUCCAUGGAGCUUGACCACCCGUUCUGAUAUAAGCCACACAGAACACAACGCAGUUAAAUAACAUAACACAUGCAAUAAAAAAAAAA
Rana temporaria (common frog) is the source of this 328-nucleotide long non-coding RNA. RefSeq lists it as uncharacterized. NCBI's taxonomy places the organism in Eukaryota, Metazoa, Chordata, Amphibia, Anura, Ranidae. The record is from RefSeq and is a predicted model, not a curated record. The transcript is spliced from 2 exons.